UAACGAAGUGUAUGAAAAACACUCUCCACAGAGAAAGCUCUCUCUCAUUCACGAAGCCUCUCAGAAACGACAUCCACAGAAGAAAGCGUUUUCUCAUUCACGAUCUCCACAGAAAAAAGGUCUCUGUCAGUGACGAAGCCUCUCCUCUUAGUAACGAUCUCUCUCAAAACGCAUCAAUCCCUCUGAAAAAAGUUUUUUUAAUAUAAGGUAUAUCUGUAUCCACCGUUUGAAGUCGUUGAUGGAAGUGUGGCUUUUUGGGCAACCGUCGAAUGGAGAGGUUUCGAACGGAGAGCUGUUUUCGAUUUCUUUAUUGUGCCUUUAUUUGUUUUCUUCAUUGCCAUUAUUGUGCGAUUUUUUGCGUUUAGGUUUUGGGGCCGGUGGUUCAGAAGUCCGAAAGGUUAGGUUUUUUUGGCUGUUGCCGUUGGGGAUUUCGUUAUUUGGUGCGGUG
RNAcentral lists this long non-coding RNA (448 nucleotides) under Vigna radiata. RNAcentral describes it as "long non-coding RNA (VRAD_LNC001469)". Lineage: Eukaryota; Viridiplantae; Streptophyta; Magnoliopsida; Fabales; Fabaceae. The record is from RNAcentral.